RNAcentral lists this non-coding RNA (21 nucleotides) under Caenorhabditis elegans. The record is from RNAcentral. Lineage: Eukaryota; Metazoa; Nematoda; Chromadorea; Rhabditida; Rhabditidae.
UAGAUUUUUUUCAGGUUCCCU